RNAcentral lists this transfer RNA (72 nucleotides) under Camelus bactrianus (Bactrian camel). It matches the Rfam family "tRNA". Rfam says of the family: Transfer RNA (tRNA) molecules are approximately 80 nucleotides in length. The record is from Rfam by way of RNAcentral. Lineage: Eukaryota; Metazoa; Chordata; Mammalia; Artiodactyla; Camelidae. RNAcentral also lists the same sequence under 2 other names.
GAGGGUACAGCUCAGUGGUAGAGUGUGAACUUAGCAUGCAUGAGGUCCUGGGUUCAAUCCCCAGUACCACCA